This 534-nucleotide ribosomal RNA is filed under the name Penicillium chrysogenum. RNAcentral's name for it is "eukaryotic LSU rRNA". The stretch from base 152 to 304 matches the Rfam family "5.8S ribosomal RNA". Lineage: Eukaryota; Fungi; Ascomycota; Eurotiomycetes; Eurotiales; Aspergillaceae. The record is from RNAcentral.
CCUCCCACCCGUGUUUAUUUUACCUUGUUGCUUCGGCGGGCCCGCCUUAACUGGCCGCCGGGGGGCUUACGCCCCCGGGCCCGCGCCCGCCGAAGACACCCUCGAACUCUGUCUGAAGAUUGUAGUCUGAGUGAAAAUAUAAAUUAUUUAAAACUUUCAACAACGGAUCUCUUGGUUCCGGCAUCGAUGAAGAACGCAGCGAAAUGCGAUACGUAAUGUGAAUUGCAAAUUCAGUGAAUCAUCGAGUCUUUGAACGCACAUUGCGCCCCCUGGUAUUCCGGGGGGCAUGCCUGUCCGAGCGUCAUUUCUGCCCUCAAGCACGGCUUGUGUGUUGGGCCCCGUCCUCCGAUCCCGGGGGACGGGCCCGAAAGGCAGCGGCGGCACCGCGUCCGGUCCUCGAGCGUAUGGGGCUUUGUCACCCGCUCUGUAGGCCCGGCCGGCGCUUGCCGAUCAACCCAAAUUUUUAUCCAGGUUGACCUCGGAUCAGGUAGGGAUACCCGCUGAACUUAAGCAUAUCAAUAAGCGGAGGAACCG